Molecule: ribosomal RNA, 460 nt
Filed under: uncultured bacterium
Lineage: Bacteria
Description: partial 16S ribosomal RNA
Rfam family: Bacterial small subunit ribosomal RNA
Source: RNAcentral
CCUACGGGAGGCUGCAGUGAGGAAUAUUUGUCAAUGGGCGAGAGCCUGAACCAGCCAAGUCGCGUGAAGGAUGACGGCCCUACGGGUUGUAAACUUCUUUUGUCAGGGAGCAAUUGAGUCCACGUGUGGGCUUAGCGAGAGUACCUGAAGAAAAAGCAUCGGCUAACUCCGUGCCAGCAGCCGCGGUAAUACGAAGGAUGCGAGCUUUAUCCGGAUUGAGUUGGUUUAAAGGGUGCGUAGGCGGACUAUCAAGUCAGCGGUAAAAAUUCGGGGCUCCACCCCGUCGUGCCGUUGAAACUGAUGUUCUUGAGUGGGCGAGAAGUAUGCGGAAUGCGUGGUGUAGCGGUGAAAUGCAUAGAUAUCACGAAGAACUCCGAUUGCGAAGGCAGCAUACCGGCGCCCAACUGACGCUGAAGCACGAAAGCGUGGGUAUCGAACAGGAUUAGAUACCCUGGUAGUC